GAAGUGUUUCUUUUAUCAAAAGGAAGGACACUGGAAAUGUAAUUAUGCUGAGUAUCUGAAAUCCUUGAAAAUCAAGGAAGGUGAAGGUACAAUUAUCUUUUGUGUUUUUUAGUCUUAUUUUUCAUUUGGUUCAUCAUCAUCUAAUUCUUGGGUGUUAGAUUCUGGUCCUAGUACUCAGGUUUGUAGUUCUAUGCAGGAUCUGGCAGUAAGUAGGAUCCUUAAG
This 223-nucleotide long non-coding RNA is filed under the name Ricinus communis (castor bean). RNAcentral's name for it is "long non-coding RNA (RCOM_LNC002141)". The record is from RNAcentral. Lineage: Eukaryota; Viridiplantae; Streptophyta; Magnoliopsida; Malpighiales; Euphorbiaceae.